ACCCUGGAACCUGCAGUUGGUUAGAGUGUGGUGCUGAUAACGGCAGGGUUGCAGGUUCAAUCCCUGUAUGGGACA
Non-coding RNA from Podarcis lilfordi (Lilford's wall lizard), 75 nucleotides. Lineage: Eukaryota; Metazoa; Chordata; Lepidosauria; Squamata; Lacertidae. The record is from the annotation of a GenBank genome assembly.